GACCGCUCCGGUGGCCGAGUGUUUAGAACUUCCGCCUCGUAUGCGGGAUGUCUUGGGUUCGAUCCCCGGCCGUGUCA
Molecule: non-coding RNA, 77 nt
Organism: Potamilus streckersoni
Lineage: Eukaryota; Metazoa; Mollusca; Bivalvia; Unionida; Unionidae
Source: the annotation of a GenBank genome assembly